CCCGCGUCCUCGGCUGCGCUCCGCUCCGCUCCCCUCCGCUCCCCUGCCCGUCCCGCCAGCGGGGCCUGGGGUCCUUGCCGCGCAGGGACAGCGUUUGCUUUCAGCGAGGUUGGACUUGGUGCUGGCAGUUCCGAAGGGAGCAGAACCGAGGGGCGAGGAAGGGCUGCGAGCGUGGCACGUUCGUGCUCAGCCGCCGAGUCCCGGUAGCGUCGGCGUGUCGGAACUCAGUGCAAGUUACGUCUCUGUGAAGGACAAAGGCACAUCUGCAAUAAAGGGACGACAGAAGAGACGCUCAGUACACCUCCUGACUUUAAAAUCUGUUCGUCUUCUCUACAUGCUACAAUAUUGGUUUGUAUAAAUAACGGCUAGAUUAGAAAUUUAAAUGCAACUUUUGAAACUGAAGAUAGAGACUCUGCCAAAUGGAGUGAUGAGCUCUGGGCAGCAGAGAUCUGUUCCUCCUGCCUUUUUCGUGUGGGGAGAGAGACUUUUAACUGGCCAGGUCAAGCAGAUAUGUGUUUUCUCUUAAUCAGAUCAUACUGGAUGUUCAGCCACACUGAACUUGAAUGCCUCCUUCUCUGCACUUGGGAUUUACCAGUCUAGUCACGGGUUAAGGCCAAGUUAUCUGAUCACAGGAACCUUCAUUCCUUAGGUCACCUCCUGCAUUUUUCCCCAGAAGGAAAGGAUGGCAGUAGUAGCUGAACACUCUGGUAA
Molecule: long non-coding RNA, 711 nt
Organism: Aquila chrysaetos chrysaetos
Lineage: Eukaryota; Metazoa; Chordata; Aves; Accipitriformes; Accipitridae
Exons: 2
Source: RefSeq, a predicted model, not a curated record